UACGUAGGGGGCAAGCGUUGUCCGGAAUCAUUGGGCGUAAAGAGCGUGUAGGCGGCCUGGUAGGUCUGCUGUGAAAACUCGAGGCUCAACCUCGAGAUGUCGGCGGAAACCAUCUGGCUAGAGUCCGGAAGAGGAGAGUGGAAUUCCUGGUGUAGCGGUGAAAUGCGCAGAUAUCAGGAAGAACACCUAUGGCGAAGGCGGCUCACUGGUCCGGUUCUGACGCUGAGGCGCGAAAGCGUGGGGAGCAAACAGG
RNAcentral lists this ribosomal RNA (253 nucleotides) under uncultured bacterium. Its description in RNAcentral is "partial 16S ribosomal RNA". It matches the Rfam family "Bacterial small subunit ribosomal RNA", at positions 524 to 776 of the family's 1533-position model. The record is from RNAcentral.